AUGGCGAAAAAGGAAAUUCACUCGGAGCGUGAUCGAGGCUUCUACAAGGCUUAUAUCCAACUUAUGAUAUCAACCCUUGGACUUGAAAGCAAAGUGAAAUUAGUGUACGAGUGCCAUCAUCUUUUGGAGUCAGCAGUCGUCCUUUUUAUGGUUGCACAAUCAUUCGGGUCCCUGCUAAAUGAACAAAAUACAGAUCUGAUAAUAUAUAAGGAGGAUUUCAGCGUGCUCAUGGUCGUUGUGGGGCUGCGAUUGCUGCUGUGGUACUAUUUGAAAAGAUUUGGUCAGACUUGCUACAGAGCUGCCGCAGUGGUGCUGCUACAUUAUGUCUUAUUACUUCUGAUCAACAAAAGGUAUAUCAGAAUUGCUAUCGUUCCUGUUAUCUUCUUUGUCUUCAUAGGUGUACUUGCGAAUGAAUUUAAGGAGAAUCCUGCCAAGAAAUUUGAGGAGAAUCCUAGUUUCCAGUACGACAACAUUAUCACACCCCCCGCUGAGAAGCGUAUAGGAAAAGAGAAAACAUACGACAGCGGUGAGGAGAUUGUAUUUGGAGAGAGCUCUUUUGGAGAUCACGACAGCAGUGAAGAUGUUGUAUUUGUACAUGGCCCUGAGAGUUCCCAGGGGCGGAUGAAAAUGGAAGUGAUUUCUUGUUGUUUGCAGUUAUCAUUCGUGAUAUGUACUCAAUUCAGCGAACAACAAGGCGGUACUUUUGUUCUCUCUCACUUCUUUCUGUUCAUCAAUUCGUCUCUAGGUGCACUAGCAGUGAUGAUAGCCGCAUCCCCUAUUGGAACCAGUCCUGGUGCAGUACAGGUGCUGCUAGCGCUGCACAAGUUCUAUCUUAUAAUGCUACCGAUAGCAACUUGCACAAUGGCCGCAGAGUGGCUAGGGAGUGGCGCCAUAAGUCUUUACAUGCCGGAGUUCAUUGUAUUGAUUGUAUGGUUCACUAAUCACUUUGAUCAUGCUGGUCGGGAAGGGCGUAUCAACUCUGCCACACGGGGCCUAGUAGUAGUACAACUACUCUUGCGAAACCCACUCAUGGUAUUAGCAGUUCCGUCAGCUGUAUAUGACCCGGAAAUGUUGGUGUCCUGGUUCAGAGGCUCGUUUCGCGUCUCUAGCUCUUCGUCGGCUCUGUCCUACUUGCACGUUUGGAUGCUACAUCAAUGGCCGGGGAAGACAUUAAACUCGACUGGACCAAUCAAACUGCUCAAGUUUUCUGCGGAAUUUAGCUUUUAUAUGGCACUUCUGCUGGCUGGACCGUCGGCUGUUCUGGCAAUCAUAUCUGGAGAUCAAGCUUCAAGGAUACUGAUUCUGUAUACAGUACGGUUACCAUUUUGUACAGGACUAUAUCUUUAUCAGGGGACUGAUAAUAUAGGACUAAAGAAUAUUCUGUGGACUAUGCUGAUAUCACUAGUGCCAAGAUUUCGUCGGAACAAAGUAAACAGUGCGCCACACUGCCAUCCAAAGGCCAUAUGA
This 1467-nucleotide ribosomal RNA is filed under the name Triticum aestivum (bread wheat). Its description in RNAcentral is "partial small subunit ribosomal RNA". Lineage: Eukaryota; Viridiplantae; Streptophyta; Magnoliopsida; Poales; Poaceae. The record is from RNAcentral.